RNAcentral lists this ribosomal RNA (496 nucleotides) under uncultured bacterium. RNAcentral's name for it is "partial 16S ribosomal RNA". It matches the Rfam family "Bacterial small subunit ribosomal RNA", at positions 28 to 507 of the family's 1533-position model. The record is from RNAcentral.
GAUGAACGCUGGCGGCGUGCCUAAUACAUGCAAGUCGAGCGAACGGACGAGAAGCUUGCUUCUCUGAUGUUAUCGGCGGACGGGUGAGUAACACGUGGAUAACCUACCUAUAAGACUGGGAUAACUUCGGGAAACCGGAGCUAAUACCGGAUAAUAUUUUGAACCGCAUGGUUCAAAAGUGACAGACGGUCUUGCUGUCACUUAUAGAUGGAUCCGCGCUGCAUUAGCUAGUUGGAAGGUAACGGCUUACCAAGGCAACGAUGCAUAGCCGACCUGAGAGGGUGAUCGGCCACACUGGAACUGAGACACGGUCCAGACUCCUACGGGAGGCAGCAGUAGGGAAUCUUCCGCAAUGGGCGAAAGCCUGACGGAGCAACGCCGCGUGAGUGAUGAAGGUCUUCGGAUCGUAAAACUCUGUUAUUAGGGAAGAACAUAUGUGUAAGUAACUGUGCACAUCUUGACGGUACCUAAUCAGAAAGCCACGGCUAACUACGUG